Molecule: ribosomal RNA, 252 nt
Filed under: uncultured bacterium
Lineage: Bacteria
Description: partial 16S ribosomal RNA
Rfam family: Bacterial small subunit ribosomal RNA
Source: RNAcentral
GCAAGUCGAGCGGAAACGAAAAGGAGCUUGCUCCUUUGGCGUCGCGCGGCGGACGGGUGAGUAAUGCAUAGGAAUUUGCCCAGUUGAGGGGGAUAACCAUUGGAAACGAUAGCUAAUACCGGAUACGCCCUACGGGGGAAAGAAGGGGAGCGUCGGGCCUUUCGCGGUUGGAUAAGCCUAAGUGAGAUUAGCUAGUUGGUGAGGUAAUGGCUCACCAAGGCGACGAUCUCUAGCUGGUCUGAGAGGAUGAUC